AUUGAACGCUGGCGGCAGGCCUAACACAUUCAAGUCGAGCGGAUGACGGGAGCUUGCUCCUUGAUUCAGCGGCGGACGGGUGAGUAAUGCCUAGGAAUCUGCCUGGUAGUGGGGGACAACGUUUCGAAAGGAACGCUAAUACCGCAUACGUCCUACGGGAGAAAGCAAGGGACCUUCGGGCCUUGCGCUAUCAGAUGAGCCUAGGUCGGAUUAGCUUGUUGGUGAGGUAAUGGCUCACCAAGGCGACGAUCCGUAACUGGUCUGAGAGGAUGAUCAGUCACACUGGAACUGGGACACGGUCCAGACUCCGACGGGAGGCAGCAGUGGGGAAUAUUGGACAAUGGGCGAAAGCCUGAUCCAGCCCUGCCGCGUGUGUGAAGAAGGUCUUCGGAUUGUAAAGCACUUUAAGUUGGGAGGAAGGGUUGUAGAUUAAUACUCUGCAAUUUUGACGUUACCGACAGAAUAAGCACCGGCUAACUCUGUGCCAGCCGCCGCCGUAA
RNAcentral lists this ribosomal RNA (500 nucleotides) under uncultured bacterium. RNAcentral describes it as "partial 16S ribosomal RNA". It matches the Rfam family "Bacterial small subunit ribosomal RNA", at positions 30 to 523 of the family's 1533-position model. The record is from RNAcentral.